Molecule: ribosomal RNA, 385 nt
Filed under: uncultured bacterium
Lineage: Bacteria
Description: bacterial SSU rRNA
Rfam family: Bacterial small subunit ribosomal RNA
Source: RNAcentral
AUUGAACGCUGGCGGCAUGCUUUACACAUGCAAGUCGAACGGUAACAGGCCUUCGGGUGCUGACGAGUGGCGAACGGGUGAGUAAUGCAUCGGAACGUGCCCAAUCGUGGGGGAUAACGUAGCGAAAGUUACGCUAAUACCGCAUAAGCCCUGAGGGGGAAAGCAGGGGAUCGCAAGACCUUGCGCGAAUGGAGCGGCCGAUGUCAGAUUAGCUAGUUGGUGGGGUAAAGGCCUACCAAGGCGACGAUCUGUAGCGGGGUCUGAGAGGAUGAUCCGCCACACUGGGACUGAGACACGGCCCAGACUCCUACGGGAGGCAGCAGUGGGGAAUUUUGGACAAUGGGCGCAAGCCUGAUCCAGCCAUGCCGCGUGCGGGACGAAGGCC